Molecule: long non-coding RNA, 203 nt
Filed under: Lathyrus oleraceus (garden pea)
Lineage: Eukaryota; Viridiplantae; Streptophyta; Magnoliopsida; Fabales; Fabaceae
Description: Pisum sativum (pea) long non-coding RNA (PSAT_LNC024877)
Source: RNAcentral
UUGAUCCCUCAUUUUUAUAUUGGGACGUAGGAACAAGUCCGAAGAUCUUGUCAAACACAAAAAAUAUAAUUAAUGAAUUCUUAUCUCAUCCCUACACUUUGUUUUACUUGCAAACAUCAUUUGUACAAAAUCACAUAUGCACACAAGAAAGGGCUCCCUAGGAGUACCUAAGACACUUUGGGUGCUAACACCUUCCCUCUGUG